Molecule: ribosomal RNA, 440 nt
Filed under: uncultured bacterium
Lineage: Bacteria
Description: partial 16S ribosomal RNA
Rfam family: Bacterial small subunit ribosomal RNA
Source: RNAcentral
CUACGGGUGGCUGCAGCAGGGAAUAUUGCACAAUGGACGGAAGUCUGAUGCAGCGACGCCGCGUGGAUGAUGAAGGCCUUCGGGUUGUAAAAUCCUUUUCAGGGAGAAGAGGAAGGACGGUAUCCCUGGAAUAAGCGUCGGCUAACUACGUGCCAGCAGCCGCGGUAAUACGUAGGACGCAAGCGUUAUCCGGAUGUACUGUGCGUAAAGCGUCUGUAGGCGGUUUAGUAAGUUUGAUGUGAAAGCUCCAAGCUCAACUUGGAGAGUGCAUUGAAUACUGCUAGACUUGAGGGGAUCAGAGGAGAGCGGAAUUUCCGGUGUAGCGGUAAAAUGCGCAGAUAUCGGAAAGAACACCAGUGGCGAAGGCGGCUUUCUGGGAUCAACCUGACGCUGAGAGACGAAAGCUAGGGUAGCGAACAGGAUUAGAUACCCCGGUAGUC